UCUCUGUUAGCUCAGUUGGCAGAGCGCAAGACUGUUAAUCUUGAGGCCGCUGGUUCGAUCCCAGCACAGAGAG
Phaeodactylum tricornutum CCAP 1055/1 is the source of this 73-nucleotide transfer RNA. It matches the Rfam family "tRNA". From Rfam's summary of the family: Transfer RNA (tRNA) molecules are approximately 80 nucleotides in length. The record is from Rfam. NCBI's taxonomy places the organism in Eukaryota, Bacillariophyta, Bacillariophyceae, Surirellales, Neidiaceae.